UCUGGUUGAGAGCUUCUGGAUUAGUAGGAGGAGUCCACAAGUCUAUUAUUUACUAUGCACACAAACAUUUACCUAAUUUUUCUUUCAAUAAGAAACCUUAUCCGUUGCGCUGGUGCCUGAUUUUCUGACUGCAAAGUCUCUUCAAAGUCUCCUUUGCAAUUUCUCUGAAGUCUAAACCUCCCUUUGUCUUUUCAUGGAUGAGAGAAUAACAGUGGCUAUAUGAAACGGAGCGGCGAUCUCAAAUACUCGCCAUACUCUGUUUUUCAGCUCCACUUGUUCCAGCAAGCACUUCUGAGGAGUUCAAUCUGGUGUGUCAUGACUAGAACUGGACCAGCAGUUAGACAGAAAAAAGAAGAGAGAAGUAGCUUUUGCACUAUUGUCUGGCAUCAUCUACCUGGAACCAACAGGGUCCACAUUCAGACCACGAAGAAGAGAGACCUCCAGAUGCUGUGAAAGUUAACAAUCAUACAAUGGGAUGAAAGUUAGUCAUCUCUCAAGCACAGUAAGAAGAAUGAUAAAAAUAAUAGCUAACAACUGAAGCAGAAGACAGGGAGGCCUUUGUGCUGCAUAUGCUGGGACAAAGGAAGAAGAACCACAGAGGGAACUUCAUUCUUCAGUUCCAAAUUCUUCUGUUUUUUGCUCUGUCAAAAUAAAUCUUAGUCUUUCAACCUUAUUUUUUUCCUAUAAUGGGGAAAACAAUGAAACACAAUUUUUUAAUGAAAAUAAACAUUAAAUGACAAGCUCAGGAAUUCCGAAGGAGCAAGAGCAGAAGCUGCCAGUCUUCCUGAUGGCUCGAUUCUUCAGUUCCAAAUCCUCACUUCUGUCCUUUCCAGUUGGCUAAUUCAUGUCACACCCCAGUCCACAUUCAGGGCGACGGGAGAGCUCACGCAAAUCAACGUGUAUCAAUACACAUCGCACGUGCUUUAGAUAAAACCAAACAAGACUGACAGAUUCCCUGAAUUUUCUAAGACUUUUAUAGUUUGAAUGUGAAAUGGCCCCAAAACUCUCUUGUGUUAGAGGUGAGACUUUUGGAAGUGAUUGGAUCAUUGGAUACCAUGCUCAUCAGUGGAUUAAUCUACUAUUAGGCAUUUAGGUGAAUAUUACCAUUCCAGCUAGUGGCUCUUCAUCUACUUUUCCUGAGAGACGACUAUGAGGACUAUACCCCAAAUAACACUCAAGUGAUACAUAACUUUCAGCUCCAGGAGUAAAGGUACUGUCAGUCUCUUGUGUUCCUACUGAUCAGCUCAGCAUCUGGAUCAUAGAGAAAAUAAUCCACCAAUUAAGAGGAAAGAAGACCAAUAAAUUUGGAAGUCACAGAAUGAGAUUAGCACUCAAUUCUUCCUCAAAAGAAACUUCAAGCAAGUUGCAAAGUGAAGUGAGCCAUGGAAUAAACUCCUAGGUGUAUAUUAGGAGAUAGAGAAGAUGCAUCUCUGCAUCCAGGCUGCAAAAUGCAGAGAACUGCCUGAUUCCACAAACGCAGAAAUAAGUAACACUCUAAGAUGGCAGGCUACAUAGGUGAGAGAGAGGUUCCCAAUGUAUUUUAAGCACUGACCCUGAGAAAAGCAGAAGAGAGAGGAAACACAUCACAUACCACCACCACCACUAAGUUUUCCACAGCUCCUAUUCCUAUAGUUGAGGGUGAGGAACAGGUACGGACUCCAUUCAGUAUCAAGAACCAAAGGCAUUUGCUGUGUCCUGUGGUUGUCUCCAUUGCCCAUGUGGAGAGGACAGACAGCCAGGCCGCGGGUGAAAUAUACCCACUUGCUGCCUUGUCCAUACCCAAGUCCUUCAGAAUAGGGAGCCAAGAGCAACAGUGUGGAACCUCACAGUUUAACAUUGAAAAGAAUUAUCUGCUGUUAUCUGGAAUUGUUUAUGAAAUGUUAAUUAAGUGAAGUUAUUAAAAAUAAGUAAUAGGUGCAUUUCUUGCACACCUGUGUUUAUGGCUUGAGUUUUGAACCUGUCACACAAAGAGUUACAAUCAAUCAAGUUACCUCAAAUAACUGGGAGUAUACUGAAAAAUUACGCACAGAUAUAAAGACAAAGGGAUCUCACAUGAGCUCAGGAACUACAACGUGCUAAAGCCGUUCAGAAACUAAAACAUAAUUUAGACCUGGGAGGAUACAGAAAACCUGCAGUGAUUAGGUUGUCUAUGUGCCCUCAGAAGCGAGCUUCUGGUCCUUCUCUUCAGGAAUACUCAGCUUCUCUGACUGUGACCACUGCUCUGACUGCUAAUGACCCCCUCACAGUACCUGCCCUCCUUUAUUACUUUGCAACCUCUGUGUUUUCAUCACUCAUGUCCCUUUCUCUUCAGUUACAGGCGCUCUUCAUCCUCAGGAGUUUCAUCUUUGUCUUUCCAGCAUCUUUUCCCACUUUAAAUUCUUUGAUUCCAAUUGUGUAUUUUAUUUGUGUGUAGGGAUUCUUGCUUGGGCAAUUGGAAUGUCAACUGGAAGAAGAAAGUUUAAAAAUAUUCCCUUUUAAGAGUGGGAUGUGCUCAUUUUCAGACAGUUUUGUCUUGGGCCAACAAGAAAAAUGUUAAUGAAUCAAAAGACUACAAGUAUAGUCUCAGAAUCCCCAGAACUGCAAAAUAUUUAAACUUUAAGUACUUAUGUUUUGGAAUUUAAGAGUAUUAAGUUUUUUGAUAGUUUCAAAUAGUCCCAACUCUCAAUAAAAGUGGUGUGGUAUAGCAAGUAUGUUUAGAAAAGUGGCAGAAGAAGGAAAGGAAAUACAAAGAGCUGGAACUUUGGAAUUCAUGUGUGCCAAACCAGUGAUGGGGACAAGGAUGGGAGCAGGUCCGACAAUAACCAAAGGCUGAUUCGAAAUAUGAGACCAUCCUCAAAAGUUAGGAGGAUCAUGCAGUUAGAAACAAACAAACAAUCAAGAAAUGAAUAGUCUCAUAAGGCAAUGAUUAGGUUCUCUAGUUCUUUAUUUACAAAAAAGUAAAAUCUAUUUGGAAGGUGCAAGGCAGAACUAAAGUAUUUGGAAGGUAGGGAAGUUCUCUCUUUGAACUGAUGGUACUAGUGUGGUUUUGGAUAAAAUAAUAAGUAAAUAUUCCAGGAGAUUCUGGCUAUAUAAUCUCCCUGUGGGUGUCCAAGGUAGAAUUCAUAUAAAAAGUAACAGAAAUAUGACAGUAUUUCUACCCAAGAAGGUAAAGAUGAUUAGGGGAAAAAUGAACUUUUGUAUGGUGGAGAAAGAAGUCUAGAAUAAUAGUGAGCAACAAUGUUACUAAAAUGCAAUUCACCAAAUUUCAGUAAAUACAUAAUGCCAUCAAUUAUCUUGCAUUUCAUAUAAAAUUGGUACUGAAUGCACUAUAAAAUAUAUUUGUAUGACUUAUUUAUUGAAAAAAGAAGAUCAGCUAAAGAAAUCAUAUUAGUUUAGCCAUUUAAAUUUUAGUUCUGUGUAUAUUUAUGAAGUAGUAGCAUUGAAGAAAUGCUUUGUAGCACUUUCCAAAUGUGAUGAUAAAAAAGAACUUCAAAAGGUAUCUUAUUCAUGCAAAAAGUGUUUAAUUAUCCCCUAUCAUGUGCGAGGCACAGUGAAAUUUCUGCAUGUUCCCUGGUGAAAAAAUUGUAGUGGUGAUCGGUCAGUUCAAAGACCUUUGACCUCCUCACAGUGGUUCACUUUUGCAUAUGUUAUUUUGGUCCAUCCUCAAAUCAGUUAUGUGGAGAAAGGAAUAAUACAUGUUCACUGGAGUUAGACAGAAUGGUGAAAAUUAUGUAGUUAUUUAACUGGAAAAACAGAAGUAGAAAUAGUUGUUACAUUUAAAGCAGUAUUUUGGAAGAAUUUAUUAGAUGAUGCUAAAAGUGGAGAGACAAAAAUAAAAGCACGUCUCAUGCUAUGGAUCCUUGCAAUGUCUCUGUUUGGCCUGGUUGCUCUUGAAAGCUGUUGGUUGAAAUGAUUGUAACAACUCCAAAUGAAAGUUUCUCUUCCCACCAGGGUGAGCAUGUGGCUAGUCUCAAACUUCCUUCUGGGUUGUGCUUGGUUUCCUCGAAGGCCAUAAUUCUAGGCUCUAGCACUGUAGAGGGUUCAUUGUUCUUAUCAGAUGUAUCAAAGGGAGGCAUCAUCAGAGAGACAAGAAGGCAAGAUAUACAUAAAAUGACCAAAGAAUACAAAGCAAGUAUAUUUUGAGAAAGACUUCCUAACAAAAGCAGAAGGAAGUGUUGAACACGGGUAUUUUAGGAAAUAAUCAUUUGUGAAAACCACCGGCUCUCAAAACAGCAUCAUGUGAAGUUUUUAAUCUCAAGUGCAUUUUUUUUUUUUUUGUAUCUGAAAUCAAACUCAAGACCUUGUGCUUGACAGGCAGGUGCGGCACCACUGAGCUACAUCCCCAGCUCACAUGAAUUCUAUGGAGAUAUAUAGGUACAUGUUGAUGUGGAAUAAACUGAAUUAUUAUUGCAUUGUUACUUUUUUCAUGAAUAGAUUUUUCAAGGCAAGAUUCUUUCACUCGGGAACCAAUACUGACACAUUACUGAAGGGUUAAGAGAUUCUGUCUCUCUCCCAACUAAUGACUCAGUGUGGUACCAUUAUUAAUUUGCAGUGCACACAACAGCACCUGAUAUAGAGAAUCUUCUCAAUAAAUGUUUGUUGAGUGAGAUUUGUUCUUGGCACACAUAUAUAAGUAAUAGCUCAGAGUGACUGCAUGUGGCAAUUCCAGUUGAAGGAUAAGCUUAAUACCCAGGAAGUAGUAGAGGACUCUAAUUUAAUCCUUUCAACCUGAUUUCUAUACAGAACAUUGUUUUAGCUACUUUACUGAAAAACUUCAGUUACAGUAUCUUUUUCAGAUGCAUUCAAUACCUGUUGAUUCAAUUGAAUAAAAAGUUAAAUGCAAGAGGGUGUCAACAGUACCAUAUUUAGGAGCUUAACAAUCAUUUUCUAUUUUCUAUGCUCUUGGAAAUAGAUAUUUAUGUAGAAAUACCCUCUCAAACACUUAGUUAUAUUUCCAUUUUUAGAAGAAGAUACUGUAUUUAAAGGAAAGGAGAUUAGUAUUAAUCCAGGAGGAGAAUUUUUGGUACCAACCCAUAUAUUUUCACCAGUUGUAAUAGUAGAGGAAAAGAUCUCUCUAGAGGCAAAACAAUAACACAGCAACAACAAUAAGAACAAACUAGAAUAUAGUUGUACUUGCACAUUGCAACAAUAACAUUAGGAUGUAUUAAAAGAAAAGAUAGUCAACUUCUUUCCAUAAUCAUAUAAUCUAUGUAGACAAGUUAGACAGUUUGCAAGAAAUAUUUGUUUUCCAAAAGUUUCUUUUGAAACAGGGUGGCACAGGCUAAAUUGCUUGGUGACAGGCUUCCAGUUCUCUGGUCUUAUGACAUGAGCCAUGUCCCUAAGAUGAAAAAGCACCCUUUCACUAGCCUGUUGACAUGAACAAGCUGGCUUUCAAUGCCAAAGGCUUUAAGAAAAAGAAAACUUUAUUUUCCAUCUCUUAUUAAGCAUAUUAUCAGAGAAGAAAUGAUUCACAGGGCCAUGAAUUAACACAUUCACAAAACUUUAAAUUAUAUGGCAGCCCAGUUAACCAAUUUGUGAAGCAAUAAAAAAUAUCUGGAGGUUUUGUUUUUUUUCCAGGUCCUCUCAUGAAGAAAGUUCUAUAACUCAAUAAGAAUAUAAUAUAAAAAUGGAAAUAAAUGCAUUAUAAGAUGUAUUAUUACAGAAAUAACUCACC
Molecule: long non-coding RNA, 5653 nt
Organism: Heterocephalus glaber (naked mole-rat)
Lineage: Eukaryota; Metazoa; Chordata; Mammalia; Rodentia; Bathyergidae
Source: Ensembl